GGCCCCGUAGCUCAGGUGGAUAGAGCAGCAGUUUCCUAAACUGCGUGCCGCGUGUUCGAACCACGCCGGGGUCACCA
RNAcentral lists this transfer RNA (77 nucleotides) under Herpetosiphonaceae bacterium. RNAcentral describes it as "tRNA-Arg". It matches the Rfam family "tRNA". From Rfam's summary of the family: Transfer RNA (tRNA) molecules are approximately 80 nucleotides in length. Their secondary structure includes four short double-helical elements and three loops (D, anti-codon, and T loops). Further hydrogen bonds mediate the characteristic L-shaped molecular structure. tRNAs have two regions of fundamental functional importance: the anti-codon, which is responsible for specific mRNA codon recognition, and the 3' end, to which the tRNAs corresponding amino acid is attached (by aminoacyl-tRNA synthetases). tRNAs cope with the degeneracy of the genetic code in two manners: having more than one tRNA (with a specific anti-codon) for a particular amino acid; and 'wobble' base-pairing, i.e. permitting non-standard base-pairing at the 3rd anti-codon position. Lineage: Bacteria; Bacillati; Chloroflexota; Chloroflexia; Herpetosiphonales; Herpetosiphonaceae. The record is from RNAcentral.